UAAUACGGAGGGUGCAAGCGUUAAUCGGAAUUACUGGGCGUAAAGCGCGCGUAGGUGGCUUGAUAAGCCGGUUGUGAAAGCCCCGGGCUCAACCUGGGAACGGCAUCCGGAACUGUCAAGCUAGAGUGCAGGAGAGGAAGGUAGAAUUCCCGGUGUAGCGGUGAAAUGCGUAGAGAUCGGGAGGAAUACCAGUGGCGAAGGCGGCCUUCUGGACUGACACUGACACUGAGGUGCGAAAGCGUGGGUAGCAAACAGGAUUAGAUACCCUGGUAGUCCACGCCGUAAACGAUGUCGACCAGCCGUUGGGUGCCUAGCGCACUUUGUGGCGAAGUUAACGCGAUAAGUCGACCGCCUGGGGAGUACGGCCGCAAGGUUAAAACUCAAAUGAAUUGACGGGGGCCCGCACAAGCGGUGGAGCAUGUGGUUUAAUUCGAUGCAACGCGAAGAACCUUACCUACUCUUGACAUCCUGCGAAUUUGGUAGAGAUACCUUAGUGCCUUCGGGAACGCAGAGACAGGUGCUGCAUGGCUGUCGUCAGCUCGUGUUGUGAAAUGUUGGGUUAAGUCCCGUAACGAGCGCAACCCUUGUCCUUAUUUGCCAGCGCGUAAUGGCGGGAACUCUAAGGAGACUGCCGGUGACAAACCGGAGGAAGGUGGGGACGACGUCAAGUCAUCAUGGCCCUUACGAGUAGGGCUACACACGUGCUACAAUGGUCGGUACAAAGGGUUGCCAACUCGCGAGAGUGAGCCAAUCCCGAAAAGCCGAUCUCAGUCCGGAUCGGAGUCUGCAACUCGACUCCGUGAAGUCGGAAUCGCUAGUAAUCGUAGAUCAGAAUGCUACGGUGAAUACGUUCCCGGGCUCUGUACAC
This 868-nucleotide ribosomal RNA is filed under the name Vreelandella aquamarina. RNAcentral's name for it is "bacterial SSU rRNA". It matches the Rfam family "Bacterial small subunit ribosomal RNA", at positions 521 to 1388 of the family's 1533-position model. Lineage: Bacteria; Pseudomonadati; Pseudomonadota; Gammaproteobacteria; Oceanospirillales; Halomonadaceae. The record is from RNAcentral.